Molecule: ribosomal RNA, 253 nt
Filed under: uncultured bacterium
Lineage: Bacteria
Description: partial 16S ribosomal RNA
Rfam family: Bacterial small subunit ribosomal RNA
Source: RNAcentral
UACGUAGGGUGCGAGCGUUGUCCGGAAUUAUUGGGCGUAAAGAGCUCGUAGGCGGCUUGUCGCGUCGGAUGUGAAAGCCCGGGGCUUAACUCCGGGUCUGCAUUCGAUACGGGCAGGCUAGAGUGUGGUAGGGGAGAUCGGAAUUCCUGGUGUAGCGGUGAAAUGCGCAGAUAUCAGGAGGAACACCGGUGGCGAAGGCGGGUCUCUGGGCCGUUACUGACGCUGAGGAGCGAAAGCGUGGGGAGCGAACAGG